This 449-nucleotide ribosomal RNA is filed under the name uncultured bacterium. Its description in RNAcentral is "partial 16S ribosomal RNA". It matches the Rfam family "Bacterial small subunit ribosomal RNA", at positions 29 to 523 of the family's 1533-position model. The record is from RNAcentral.
AAUGAACGCUGGCGGCAGGCCUAACACAUGCAAGUCGAACGGAUCCUUCGGGAUUAGUGGCGGACGGGUGAGUAACGCGUGGGAACAUACCCAAAGGUACGGAAUAGCCUCGGGAAACUGGGAGUAAUACCGUAUGUGCUCGAAAGAGGAAAGAUCUAUCGCCUUUGGAUUGGCCCGCGUUGGAUUAGGUAGGUGGUGGGGUAAUGGCCUACCAAGCCGACGAUCCAUAGCUGGUUUGAGAGGAUGAUCAGCCACACUGGGACUGAGACACGGCCCAGACUCCUACGGGAGGCAGCAGUGGGGAAUCUUAGACAAUGGGGGAAACCCUGAUCUAGCCAUGCCGCGUGAUCGAUGAAGGCCUUAGGGUUGUAAAGAUCUUUCAGGUGGGAAGAUAAUGACUGUACCACCAGAAGAAGCCCCGGCUAACUCCGUGCCAGCCGCCGCGGUAA